This 77-nucleotide transfer RNA is filed under the name Burkholderia cenocepacia. RNAcentral's name for it is "tRNA-Gly". It matches the Rfam family "tRNA". Rfam says of the family: Transfer RNA (tRNA) molecules are approximately 80 nucleotides in length. Their secondary structure includes four short double-helical elements and three loops (D, anti-codon, and T loops). The record is from RNAcentral. Lineage: Bacteria; Pseudomonadati; Pseudomonadota; Betaproteobacteria; Burkholderiales; Burkholderiaceae.
GCGGACGUAGCUCAGUGGGUCAGAGCGCGAGUUUCCCAAACUCGAGGUCGCCGGUUCGAAGCCGGCCGUCCGCUCCA